GUGGGGAAUUUUGGACAAUGGGCGCAAGCCUGAUCCAGCCAUGCCGCGUGCAGGAUGAAGGCCUUCGGGUUGUAAACUGCUUUUGUACGGAACGAAAAGACUCUGGUUAAUACCUGGGGUCCAUGACGGUACCGUAAGAAUAAGCACCGGCUAACUACGUGCCAGCAGCCGCGGUAAUACGUAGGGUGCGAGCGUUAAUCGGAAUUACUGGGCGUAAAGCGUGCGCAGGCGGUUAUGUAAGACAGAUGUGAAAUCCCCGGGCUCAACCUGGGAACUGCAUUUGUGACUGCGUAGCUAGAGUACGGCAGAGGAGGAUGGAAUUCCGCGUGUAGCAGUGAAAUGCGUAGAUAUGCGGAGGAACACCGAUGGCGAAGGCAAUCCCCUGGGCCUGUACUGACGCUCAUGCACGAAAGCGUGGGGAGCAAACAGGAUUAGAAACCCCUGUAGUCC
Molecule: ribosomal RNA, 450 nt
Filed under: uncultured bacterium
Lineage: Bacteria
Description: partial 16S ribosomal RNA
Rfam family: Bacterial small subunit ribosomal RNA
Source: RNAcentral